AACGCACCUUGCACUCUUUGGUAUUCCGAAGAGUAUGUCUGUUUGAGUGUCAUGAAACUCUCAACCCCCCUGUUUUGUAAUGGAACAGGCUGUGGGCUUGGAUUAUGGCUGUCUGCUGGCUUUAAAUAGUCGGCUCGGCUAAAAUACACGAGCGACCGCAUGAAUUAAUAACGGCUUGACUCGGCGUAAUAACUAUUUCGCUGAGGACGUUUCCAAUUCAACUGGUGCUUCUAAUGCAUCAUAUAAUUUUAAGCUUUAGACCUCAAAUCAGUCAGGACUACCCGCUGAACUUAA
Molecule: unclassified non-coding RNA, 294 nt
Filed under: Typhula sp.
Lineage: Eukaryota; Fungi; Basidiomycota; Agaricomycetes; Agaricales; Typhulaceae
Also listed under: 2 other names
Description: partial contains 5.8S ribosomal RNA, internal transcribed spacer 2, and large subunit ribosomal RNA
Rfam family: 5.8S ribosomal RNA (bases 1-52)
Source: RNAcentral